Molecule: long non-coding RNA, 771 nt
Organism: Zophobas morio
Lineage: Eukaryota; Metazoa; Arthropoda; Insecta; Coleoptera; Tenebrionidae
Exons: 2
Source: RefSeq, a predicted model, not a curated record
UACCACAAUUAGGUAUCAAAAAAUUAGAAAUAAGUAUUAAGAUGGUCUGGCGAUUUAAUGUUAUCACUGUGUGCAGUAAUUAAAAUAUUGCGUUUGGUCCGGUUGUUUCUGAAACUCCCUAUAAAAGAUUGACUCUAAUCUGGGGUAGUUAUCAGUUCGAGUUUUAACAUCGUGUGAAGAUGAAGUCCAUAGUGAUCUUGAUAAUCCUUACAUUCGUACCAGGGCUGCAUUCACGGUUUCUAAUCCGACCACAACCUAUAUCAGACGAGUUUCAAGAAAUCAGACCUCUUCCCAUAACCAGCCAUCCCGACCUGGAACCUGUCCCAGCUGACUGGGGGCCAAAACCGCUUCCACUUCCAGAACUUGCACAGGAAAAAGAAUCUCCCACCACUCCCAGUACCAGAUGAAAAGAAUCAGUUGUACCCAUUGUACCCAGAAUCGAAUCUCCAAAACUUGAAGUAGAUUCCGUCACAGUGGUACCAGGAGUGAAAACUUUACCGCUUCCAGUGUAAAACGGGUACCAAUUCCCGAACUUGAAUCGCCAGGAAACUAAGGUGUCCUAUUGCAGUCUUACCAAACAAACCUGUCCCAAUACCACUACUCGUGAUAUUCCCUAGGUUGAACCUAUACCUGUACCAUACCCAACCUCAAACCAGAAAUAGUGCGUGAUUACAAUAGUGAACGGACUCGAUUAUAAUAUAAAUGUGUAGUUAAUUUAGUGUGAAAACUACUUAGUAGAUUUAAAAAAAUAUAUCGUAUUUUUAUAAACCA